UGACGGUACUUGACUAAGAAGCCCCGGCUAACUACGUGCCAGCAGCCGCGGUAAUACGUAGGGGGCAAGCGUUAUCCGGAUUUACUGGGUGUAAAGGGAGCGUAGACGGUAUGGCAAGUCUGAAGUGAAAUGCAUGGGCUCAACCCAUGAACUGCUUUGGAAACUGUCAAACUAGAGUGCAGGAGGGGUAAGUGGAAUUCCUAGUGUAGCGGUGAAAUGCGUAGAUAUUAGGAGGAACACCAGUGGCGAAGGCGGCUUACUGGACUGUAACUGACGUUGAGGCUCGAAAGCGUGGGGAGCAAACAGGAUUAGAUACCCUG
This 320-nucleotide ribosomal RNA is filed under the name uncultured bacterium. RNAcentral's name for it is "bacterial SSU rRNA". It matches the Rfam family "Bacterial small subunit ribosomal RNA", at positions 470 to 789 of the family's 1533-position model. The record is from RNAcentral.